Jaculus jaculus (lesser Egyptian jerboa) is the source of this 1363-nucleotide long non-coding RNA. RefSeq lists it as uncharacterized. NCBI's taxonomy places the organism in Eukaryota, Metazoa, Chordata, Mammalia, Rodentia, Dipodidae. The transcript is spliced from 4 exons. The record is from RefSeq and is a predicted model, not a curated record.
GGGCCCUGCACGGAGGCUGAGACCAGGAGAAACCCAGGCUCCUUUCGUCUGGCAGACCUCGGCGCUCCUCCACCGAGUCCUCCUGGCCGAGUUUUGCCGCCAGGACUGUAGAGGUGUUUUCUACCAGUAAUGUGAACCUGACUGCAACAGCACAGGACUCAUUCCUCUGAGCCAUCGGGCCAUACACAGGCUUUGAGUGCCUUCCCAGAAUCCCCCACAGCCUUUACGUUUUGUGAAUUGCUGAUGCAGGGUUAUGGAACCAUGGUGGCUCUUCCUACCAGAUUAAGGUGCAGCAAGGGGCACAGGCCUGGUUUGAAAGUCGCCCCGAGAAGAGGAUGCAAAGGGCUGCCCAUCACCGUCUUCACAAGUGGUUCCUCAUCCUGACCCCAGGCACUGUUAGGGUGACCAGACCUGGCCAAUCCCAAGGCACCUGCUCAGGGCAGUGAACAAAGCUUUCAAGUACACAGCUGCCCUCUGUGUUCAAAGAACCUCUAUGCCAGUGACGCCUUCCCAUGCCAGCUUCCAUUCACUCAGCAUCUCCUAAGUCCUCUCAGAGAGCUGUCAACGUUCAUGCGGACUCUAGAAGUUACUGCUGCCCUCAUUUUCAGAUAUGGAGACUUGAGGCUCAGAAAGCAGCACAAGCGAUAAAUAAAUUAAUUUUAAGAAAUAAAGUCCAGAGGAGGGAAUCAUUUCCAGGACACUGAGCACAGAGCAGGGUGGGCCAGUCACGCACACCUGAGUGAUCAGAUACAGCUGAGAGAAAAGCCCAGACAGCAAACAACAGUUCCUGAUUGCUGACAUGUGGUGAGGAAUGUGAAGGGGCAAGAGGCUCCAGAGACAGAGGCCUGUCUUGCCCACACAGCAAAACCUGAAAGGAGCCCAGUGAUCCUAUCUCUUCACACGAGGUUAUUUUGACCACGCCACGACAUAGAGAGAGAAGUCCAGAGCCAACGUGCACUGGGUCCAUCCUCCAUGCGUACCAAUGGCAUUCUGAGGCAGUUUCGAGGUGACAGAGUCCUAACAUGAAGACUUCAUCUUGAUAAAACAUGAAAUUGUCCUUGGGCCUGCAGGGGGAAUCCUGCCUACAGUGUAAGUGAAACAAACACAGCAGACCUAAGGGAAGCCAUCUUGACAUUCUCCAGGAGCUAUAGGAGAACAAAGAUUAACGCAGAACAGUGCCUAAGAUAUCUGGUGUUAGUCUUUCCCUAAAGUCAAAGCAACCUGGUCCCCAGUGCAUGCUGCAUACCAACAUCUGGUGCUUGCUCUGUGCUGACCACCAAACUCUGCUUCUGUAAACCAUGCUUGCUUGCUCUUGAAAAAUUAAUUAGGGGAAAGGGGGGAUGACUGGAGAGUGAAGGGCAGG